This 497-nucleotide ribosomal RNA is filed under the name uncultured bacterium. Its description in RNAcentral is "partial 16S ribosomal RNA". It matches the Rfam family "Bacterial small subunit ribosomal RNA", at positions 28 to 507 of the family's 1533-position model. The record is from RNAcentral.
GAUGAACGCUGGCGGCGUGCCUAAUACAUGCAAGUCGAGCGAACAGACGAGGAGCUUGCUCCUCUGACGUUAGCGGCGGACGGGUGAGUAACACGUGGAUAACCUACCUAUAAGACUGGGAUAACUUCGGGAAACCGGAGCUAAUACCGGAUAAUAUAUUGAACCGCAUGGUUCAAUAGUGAAAGACGGUUUUGCUGUCACUUAUAGAUGGAUCCGCGCCGCAUUAGCUAGUUGGUAAGGUAACGGCUUACCAAGGCGACGAUGCGUAGCCGACCUGAGAGAGUGAUCGGCGACACUGGGACUGGGACACGGUCCAGACUCCUACGGGAGGCAGGAGUAGGGAAUCUCCCGCAAUAGGCGAAAGCCUGACGGAGCAACGCCGCGUGGGUGAUGAAGGUCUUCGGGUCGUAAAACUCUGUUAUUAGGGAACAACAAAUGUGUAAGUAACUAUACACGUCUUGACGGUACCUGAUCAGUAAGCCACGGCUAACUCCGUG